UUCCAGAGACACACAGGGACCUCAGAACAAAGAUAAGGCAUCGCUGACACCACACCGGGGACAAGCUCACAGGAAAGUCAGGCCGAGGGGACCGAAGCCAGGCAGCCAGGAGCACCCCAGGCAGGAAAAUGAGGUGGCUCCUUCUCUGUCAUGCUCUGUGCCUCUCCUUGUUGAAAGCUUCGGCCCAUACCGUGGAGCUUAACAAUAUGUUUGGCCAGAUUCAGUCACCUGGCUAUCCAGACUCCUAUCCAAGUGAUUCAGAGGUGACUUGGAAUAUCACUGUCCCAGAGGGAUUUCGGAUCAAGCUUUACUUCAUGCACUUCAACUUGGAAUCCUCCUACCUUUGUGAAUAUGACUAUGUGAAGGUAGAAACGGAAGAGCAGGUGUUGGCAACCUUCUGCGGCCAGGAGACUACAGACACAGAGCAGACCCCCGGCCAGGAAGUCGUGUUCUCCCCUGGCUCCUUCAUGUCCAUCACUUUCCGGUCAGAUUUCUCCAAUGAGGAGCGAUUCACGGGCUUUGAUGCCCACUACAUGGCCGUGGAUGUGGAUGAGUGCACCGAGCGGGAAGACGAGGAGCUGUCCUGUGACCACUACUGCCAUAACUACAUCGGCGGCUACUAUUGCUCCUGCCGCUUUGGCUACCUCCUCCACACAGACAACAGGACCUGCCGAGUGGAGUGCAGUGACAACCUCUUUACCCAGAGGACUGGCGUGAUCACCAGCCCGGACUUCCCCAACCCUUAUCCUAAGAGCUCAGAAUGCUUCUACACGAUAGAGCUAGAGGAGGGUUUCAUGGUCAGCCUGCAGUUCGAGGACAUUUUCGACAUUGAGGAUCAUCCCGAGGUGUCCUGCCCCUAUGACUACAUCAAGAUUAAAGCUGGUCCAAAAGUUCUGGGGCCCUUCUGCGGAGAGAGAGCACCAGAACCCAUCAAUACCCAGAGCCACAGCGUCCAGAUCCUAUUCCGCAGCGACAACUCAGGGGAGAACCGAGGCUGGAGGCUCUCAUACAGGGCGACAGGGAACGAGUGCCCAGAGCCAGAGCCUCCUGUCCACGGGAAAAUUGAGCCCCUGCAAACCACGUAUUCCUUCAAAGACCAGGUGCUCAUCAGCUGUGACACAGGCUACAAAGUGCUGAAGGAUAAUGUGGAGAUGGAUACAUUCCAGAUCGAGUGUCUGAAGGAUGGGACGUGGAGUAACAGGAUUCCCACCUGUAAAAAAACCGAAAUGGAUGAGGAGAACGAACUCGGGUCAGAGCAAGAGACAGAGUGAAUGACGGGACCCCACAGAGUGCAGACAUCCAGGAAUGGACCACUCACAAGACCCUGGGGCCCCAGAGCUACUGCACCCCUCCCCACCCCGCCAACACUCCAUUUCCAAUUUCUGUGCGGAUUAGUGUGGAUGCUGAACCAGGCAACACAGUCAAGCAGUUGAAACUGCUGUGUAAAGGACAAUUCUCCACUGGAGGGCUCACUCAUCAUUCAAUCAGUACGCUGGAAAAUAAUGAGAGGACGAGGGGGAUUUUUUUUUUUUUUUUUUUUUUUUUAGCACUUCCAAGUGGACAGUGCUCUUCUCAAAGGACAGAUGACUUUGGUCCUAGAGACCCACGAUUUCAUAUACAACCACAUGCCCCUAGGCUGACCAGGUCAAGUGGGCCCUGGUUCCUAAUCCACUCCACACUUGAAGCUGAAAUGAGCCAGAAGGCCUGUGACUUGAUGACUUUAAUAUUUUUAUCUGUUGCUACUUUCUAACAACCAGGAGUAGGUGAAACUAACAAUAACUCAUAGAGCGUAGGUUUUGUAGGAAACCUAGACAUAGCCUCAUCCAUGUAAUUUUCUAUUCCACCUGCACCUAACCCGGAGCUGAAAGUGCAUUAUCAGAGGUUCUUUCCUCUGGGCCGGGGCUUACAAAUCUUGCAUUUCUGAAAACUCGCUGAUUAAAGGUUUCAAAAAGAGGUCUCACCCUCAAAAGCAGCAGUCCUCAGCUUUGGUGCCGUGGGACAUCACUGGGUCCCACGAUAAAGGGCUCUGUAGCGGCGGUGGGAACCUCUGCUUCAGCCUGAACAAAACCGGAAUAGACGUAUCAGAGAAGCCAUGCAUUACGCUGUGACUACUCAGUCUGUGUGGUGAUUACAUGGGCUCUUGAUGCAGUCAGAACCCUGCAAGGGUGGACAAUGGCAGGUGCAUAGAUUGUGGUGCUAGCCAAGGGCAGGGGUGCCCCUGAGAGCAGAGAGGAGGUGGUCAGUAAAGAUGAGCAUCAGUUCAAUCAAUAUGGUUAUGUCCCCAAAGCGUAACAGAUAUUGUACUCAGUGAGACAGAGGGAAUCCUAAUUUAGGCAGAAGAUUUGAUAUGGGCCCCAAUAAUGGCAAUACGGGGCAACAUAAGAUAAAUGCGUCAGAGAGAUGAGUGUGAAUAGAGGCCUCUGUAAGGAGAAAGGAGGAGGCAGCCCUAUCCAAUUAGAAGACUGCAAAAAGACUCUCAAGAAGAAGCAGUGUUUGAUCAAGGCCUCGAGGUGGCCAGAGCAUGGACCCCAGGGGUUCUGGUGUGGGGAAAGCAGGUGAGGGAGCGGCACAGUGAGGGCUGUGUGAUGCUGGAGCUCAGGUGCACCGAGGACUGGGACGAAGAGGUGCUGGGGUAGGGGGCCGUCCCUGAGGCCGCAGGGCCGAGGGGAGCUCAUGGGGCGUCGUUCUCCAGGAAGCCCCAGAUUGUGGCAGAGCACACUCAGGACGGCGGGUCAAGAAAGAUGUGUCUGAAGGAAAAUAAAUGUCAGCCAGAGAUGACAGCAGAGACAGAGUGUGGGGUGGUAUAUCCCAUCCCAGGGAAUGAGGAGAAAGGGAGGCCAAGGGAAUAGAAACAUGGAGGACAUUUUGAUUCCAAGGUGUGGAAGUGGCCAGAGGGAACGUUAGGGAAAGGGUGAGACCCUUCCUAAAGCAAAGAAGCAAGACCAGCUGAGGAAGCGGCCUCUGGGUGUAGCAUCUUUGAUUGUGCCAGGGCUCAAGGCCCCUUGGAAAGGGAAGUCAUCCCCAGGUCCCAGAGAGACAUGGCCGUUCACCUGCCACAGUAGACUUGGGAGUAGAAGCAUACCACCCCCCACUCACCAUAGCCAAGCUGAAGCGACCCUCUAUUUUAUACUACUUUUCACCUCUAUCUGGCUGUAGGGCCAGCAAAGUUACUUCUCUGGAGUGAUAGGAAAGCAGGCCCUCAACUCAGGAAAUAACUCCCCACCCUUGCUGGCCAAGUAACAGGCUCUCAAUAGCCUGACCAGCUAGCCGUGUCCAAGGCCAACACUGCAAUUCCUCCCCCUGGAACUAGGUAUUAGGUUCAGAGAAUACUCUAGGCAAAAUGAACCCCUAGGCCAACGUUAGGAGAGACGAGAGUAAUACCAAGAUCCAGGCACCAGUCAAUGGCAUUUCCUAAAAAAGGAAGAAAAAUCUGCUUUGAGACUCAGCAAGAAAAUACAUUUAAAACUGUGUUAUGGCUUUAAAUAAUAGCUAUUAUCGCCUUUCGUGGUCCUAGUGCUGACUCUCACUCACACAGUGUGGAAGAGUGUCUCCAUUUCUGGGUGAUCAAAACGAACGGGAACGAUUUGUCCAAGGGGAUUAGAGGUCAAGACCAAAGAUUAACCAGUUCUCUCGGCUUUUGCCUUCCUUGUGGAUAGGAGGCACCUGUUUUACUCUCUUAGCCUUCACCCCUCUCCUCCACAAUGGAGGGCCUUGGAGUCACCUCUGCUUUAGAUUAGGUAACUCUUUAUUCAAUCAAAAUGAUGAAUUUAGAGUUCUAAAUUUAAAAACUACAAUUUCUGGGUAACAUCUCAAGGGCAAAUUGCCCUCUUUCUGUGUCCCAAGGAGCGGGGAAACUGGAAAUGCUUCUUUUUGGAAUGCUGUCCUCUGAAAUAACCAGGAGAUUAAUAGCUAAUUAAUAGCUAAUUACCCAGUUAAUAUUGAUUUUAAGCCAUUUUAAGUAGAAAAGAGAUCCUUAAGAACUGUUCAGUUGGUUUUCUUAAAAGAACACUGAGUUUAAAGUCAGGUCUAGUUUUCUGAUUGUAACUCGCUGUGUGAUCUUAGGCCAGCCAAGUCUCCUCUCUGAGCUCAUCUGUAAAGUUAAAAUGAUAUUCUGGAUUGUCUGCCUUGGGGUUCCUUAUCAACUACAAAGUUCCAUGAUUCUUCUAUGAUUCUCCAACUCUGGCAUAGCCUGUUGGACCUAAGAUGAAGAUGUCCUUAGAAGUGAACACCACUCCCUAAAGGAAGCUCCCGAAGAGGCCCUGACAAAUUGGGGCCUCAGCCUGUGACUUGGCUUCUGACAGACUCAUGCUGGACUCUGGGCUGACAAUGCCCCUAAGACCACCUCUGAGGAGCAGGCAUCCUACAGCGAGGGCCAACAUCCAGCCCCCAGCAAUUGGAGAACAUAAGCAGGUGAACAAUGAGAACUUAGUCUACCCCGGAUCUCACCUCCUGCCUUCUGUGACCAAGCAAGAUGCCUAUGGAGAGCCAGCAGGUUGCAGACUGUGGAGCCCCAGCAGAGCUGAAACAUGGGCUGAUCACCUUCUCCACCAGGAACAACCUUAC
This is an RNA transcript of Zalophus californianus (California sea lion), 4563 nucleotides long. It is a transcript of the gene named mannan binding lectin serine peptidase 1, with no coding region annotated. The record is from RefSeq and is a predicted model, not a curated record. The transcript has 10 exons. Lineage: Eukaryota; Metazoa; Chordata; Mammalia; Carnivora; Otariidae.